Paramuricea clavata is the source of this 475-nucleotide non-coding RNA. Lineage: Eukaryota; Metazoa; Cnidaria; Anthozoa; Malacalcyonacea; Plexauridae. The record is from the annotation of a GenBank genome assembly.
GCAAAAUUUAUUCGUAAGUUAAUUGUGAACUUGUCAAGUUCUUGAACCUCGUAUGUCUCCAUGCGGGCUAUGUCUUUGCCGAUGUUUCUUAUUGCUACCCUGCCUGCCCAUUUUUUAAAUACUCCAACCAAUAAAUUUGUACUUUUUCUAGUGUUCAAGUUUUCACUAGAAGUUUUUAAUUCGUCAAUAACAUUAUUAUCCGCGACGUCAAAGUGAGAAGCCAUUGUUUUUAUUGCUAUUUAAAACAAGAACAUGCUUGCAUCUCAGCCAAUCAGGUACAAGUAAUUUUGCCCUGAAAAAAAUGCCUUCCUCAUUAGCUAAUUAAUUAAUCAUAUUUGAGUAAUUUUGCCCCCUAUAUGAUUAUAAGUGAAAUAAGCAAACUAUCCAAAUGGCCUAACCUUCUAAAGUGAGGCUGUUAAUAAGAUUAUCUGACUACAAUUUUUCCGUUUUUUAACUGACAACUGAAAAAUAUAUC